GAGGGUAUGGCUCAGUGGUAGAGCACGGGCUUAGUAUGCAUUAGAUCCUGUGUUCAAUCCCUAGUACCUCCC
RNAcentral lists this transfer RNA (72 nucleotides) under Camelus bactrianus (Bactrian camel). It matches the Rfam family "tRNA". From Rfam's summary of the family: Transfer RNA (tRNA) molecules are approximately 80 nucleotides in length. RNAcentral also lists the same sequence under 2 other names. The record is from Rfam by way of RNAcentral. Lineage: Eukaryota; Metazoa; Chordata; Mammalia; Artiodactyla; Camelidae.